Molecule: long non-coding RNA, 226 nt
Filed under: Lathyrus oleraceus (garden pea)
Lineage: Eukaryota; Viridiplantae; Streptophyta; Magnoliopsida; Fabales; Fabaceae
Description: Pisum sativum (pea) long non-coding RNA (PSAT_LNC000497)
Source: RNAcentral
AAACACUCAUAUAUCGCCCCCAUAAUAGGAGGAGUACCCUGGGAAACCCUACCAUAUAAGGGGAUGAUGACAGUCGACAUAACAUAAUUUUUAUGAAAAAAUUAGGAUGAAAUCAAAAGAAUAAUGAGUAAAAGUCAUGCCAAAGUGUGAAAAAUAAACUACAAAAAGGGGAAGAAUUGAGACUUAGAAGAAUUUUGAAGAAAAAGUGAAGAAAUUAUGAAGAAAU